AUCGCACGUCUUCAAAUU
This 18-nucleotide small nuclear RNA is filed under the name Arabidopsis thaliana (thale cress). Its description in RNAcentral is "snRNA_14372". The record is from RNAcentral. Lineage: Eukaryota; Viridiplantae; Streptophyta; Magnoliopsida; Brassicales; Brassicaceae.